Molecule: ribosomal RNA, 239 nt
Filed under: uncultured bacterium
Lineage: Bacteria
Description: partial 16S ribosomal RNA
Rfam family: Bacterial small subunit ribosomal RNA
Source: RNAcentral
UACGAAGGGGGCUAGCGUUGUUCGGAAUUACGUGGGCGUAAAGCGCACGUAGGCGGACUAUUAAGUCAGGGGUGAAAUCCCGGGGCUCAACCCCGGAACUGCCUUUGAUACUGGUAGUCUCGAGUCCGGAAGAGGUGAGUGGAAUUCCGAGUGUAGAGGUGAAAUUCGUAGAUAUUCGGAGGAACACCAGUGGCGAAGGCGGCUCACUGGUCCGGUACUGACGCUGAGGUGCGAAAGCG